Molecule: ribosomal RNA, 206 nt
Filed under: uncultured bacterium
Lineage: Bacteria
Description: partial 16S ribosomal RNA
Rfam family: Bacterial small subunit ribosomal RNA
Source: RNAcentral
UGCGUAGGCGGUUAGUUAAGUCUGCUGUGAAAUCCCCGGGCUCAACCUGGGAAUGGCAAUGGAAACUGGCUAGCUAGAGUGUGUCAGAGGAUGGUGGAAUUUCCGGUGUAGCGGUGAAAUGCGUAGAGAUCGGAAGGAACAUCAGUGGCGAAGGCGGCCAUCUGGGACAACACUGACGCUGAAGCACGAAAGCGUGGGAGCAAACA